Molecule: ribosomal RNA, 497 nt
Filed under: uncultured bacterium
Lineage: Bacteria
Description: partial 16S ribosomal RNA
Rfam family: Bacterial small subunit ribosomal RNA
Source: RNAcentral
GAUGAACGCUGGCGGCGUGCCUAAUACAUGCCAGUCGAGCGAACAGACGAGGAGCUUGCUCCUCUGACGUUAGCGGCGGACGGGUGAGUAACACGUGGAUAACCUACCUAUAAGACUGGGAUAACUUCGGGAAACCGGAGCUAAUACCGGAUAAUAUAUUGAACCGCAUGGUUCAAUAGUGAAAGACGGUUUUGCUGUCACUUAUAGAUGGAUCCGCGCCGCAUUAGCUAGUUGGUAAGGUAACGGCUUACCAAGGCAACGAUGCGUAGCCGACCUGAGAGGGUGAUCGGCCACACUGGAACUGAGCAACGGUCCAGACUCCUACGGGAGGCAGCAGUAGGGAAUCUUCCGCAAUGGGCGAAAGCCUGACGGAGCAACGCCGCGUGAGUGAUGAAGGUCUUCGGAUCGUAAAACUCUGUUAUUAGGGAAGAACAAAUGUGUAAGUAACUAUGCACGUCUUGACGGUACCUAAUCAGAAAGCCACGGCUAACUACGUG